UGACCCCUACGGGGGGCAGCAGUAGGGAAUCUUCCACAAUGGGGGAAACCCUGAUGCAGCGACGCCGAGUGAGUGAAGAAGCGUUUCGGCGCGUAAAGCUCUGUCAGCGGGGAAGAAACACGGUUCGCGAGAGCCGCGGACGGUACCCGACCAAGAAGCCCCGGCUAACUACGUGCCAGCAGCCGCGGUAAUACGUAGGGGGCAAGCGUUAUCCGGAUUCACUGGGUGUAAAGGGAGCGUAGACGGCGAGACAAGUCUGGAGUGAAAGGCCGGGGCCCAACCCCG
This 285-nucleotide ribosomal RNA is filed under the name uncultured bacterium. RNAcentral describes it as "partial 16S ribosomal RNA". It matches the Rfam family "Bacterial small subunit ribosomal RNA", at positions 333 to 617 of the family's 1533-position model. The record is from RNAcentral.